AUUGAACGCUGGCGGUAGGCCUAACACAUGCAAGCCGAGCGGCAGCAGGGUGAUUGCUCCUGGAUACGGCGGCGGACGGGUGAGCAAUGGCUAGGAAUCUGCCUGGUUGCUGGGGCUAACGUGCGGAAACGGGGGCUAAUACCGCAAUCGUGCAGAGGGCGUAAGUGUGGGAGCAUGGGAUCUUAGGACCUUAGAUGAUCCGAGGACGGAUUAGCUAGUUGGUGGGGUAAAGGCCUACCAAGGCGACGAUCCGUAACUGGUCUGAGAGGAUGAUCAGUCACACUGGAACUGAGACACGGUCCAGACUCCUACGGGAGGCAGCAGUGGGGAAUAUUGGACAAUGGGCGAAAGCCUGAUCCAGCCAUACCGCGUGGGUGAAGAAGGUCUUCGGGUUGUAAAGCACUUUAGUUUGGAAAGAAAAGCAGUAGGUUAAUACCUCGCUGUUCUGACGUUACCAACAGAAUAAGCACCGGCUAACUUCGUG
Molecule: ribosomal RNA, 484 nt
Filed under: uncultured bacterium
Lineage: Bacteria
Description: partial 16S ribosomal RNA
Rfam family: Bacterial small subunit ribosomal RNA
Source: RNAcentral